GAUCAUGGCUCAAGAUGAACGCUAGCGGCAGGCUUAACACAUGCAAGUCGAGGGGCAGCAUAAUGGAUAGCAAUAUCUAUGGUGGCGACCGGCGCACGGGUGAGUAACGCGUAUCCAACCUGCCCAUCACUUGGGAAUAACCUUGCGAAAGCAAGACUAAUACCCAAUGAUAUCCCACGAAGGCAUCCGAAUGGGAUUAAAGAUUUAUCGGUGAUGGAUGGGG
Molecule: ribosomal RNA, 223 nt
Filed under: uncultured bacterium
Lineage: Bacteria
Description: partial 16S ribosomal RNA
Rfam family: Bacterial small subunit ribosomal RNA
Source: RNAcentral